Molecule: ribosomal RNA, 512 nt
Filed under: uncultured bacterium
Lineage: Bacteria
Description: partial 16S ribosomal RNA
Rfam family: Bacterial small subunit ribosomal RNA
Source: RNAcentral
GAUGAACGCUGGCGGCGUGCCUAAUACAUGCAAGUCGAACGAAACUUCUUUAUCACCGAGUGCUUGCACUCACCGAUAAAGAGUUGAGUGGCGAACGGGUGAGUAACACGUGGGCAACCUGCCCAAAAGAGGGGGAUAACACUUGGAAACAGGUGCUAAUACCGCAUAACCAUAGUUACCGCAUGGUAACUAUGUAAAAGGUGGCUAUACUACCGCUUUUGGAUGGGCCCGCGGCGCCUUAGCUAGUUGGUAGGGUAAAGGCUUACCAAGGCAAUGAUGCGUAGCCGAAUUGAGAGGUUGAUCGGCCACAUUGGGACUGAGACACGGCCCAAACUCCUACGGGAGGCAGCAGUAGGGAAUCUUCCACAAUGGGCGAAAGCCUGAUGGAGCAACGCCGCGUGGGUGAAGAAGGUCUUCGGAUCGUAAAACCCUGUUGUUAGAGAAGAAAGUGCGUGAGAGUAACUGUUCACGUUUCGACGGUAUCUAACCAGAAAGCCACGGCUAACUACGUG